Molecule: non-coding RNA, 424 nt
Organism: Lepisosteus oculatus (spotted gar)
Lineage: Eukaryota; Metazoa; Chordata; Actinopteri; Semionotiformes; Lepisosteidae
Source: RefSeq, a predicted model, not a curated record
UCCCUGUACCCUCCUGACCUGACCUGGGCUGUGCUGGCAGGUUCUUCACAUCGUCUGUACGCCAUGUCAGUGGAGAUGUGGAAAUCAAAGACUGCUUAUUGGUGAAAUUGAGAAAAGGGAUAUUAAUGGCAACAAGGAUAAUGGCCAGCAGGAAACAAGCUUUGGCACAGAAGACAAAACAGACAUUCUUUCAACCACAACUGACUGCAGAAGGUGAGCCCUUUCAGCAGAGAUAAAGUUCAUUUAAAACCAAGAACAGGGGACUCUUCUUUACGCAAAGGGUUGCAGGAGUGUGGAACGAGCUACCCAGCCACGUGGUUGAAGCCCAGGGUGGCUUCUUUCAAGAAACAGCUGGAUGACAUCCCCCGAUCCAUUAGCUACUAACUACCAGAUGGACUGCACGGCCUCCUCUAACCUUGUAACC